CCUACGGGAUGCUGCCGUGAGGAAUAUUGGUCAAUGGGCGCUAGCCUGAACCAGCCAAGUAGCAUGAAGGAUGACUGCCCUACGGGUUGUAAACUUCUUUUAUAAGGGAAUAAAGUGAAGCAUGUCUACCGCUUUGCAUGUACUUUAUGAAUAAGGAUCGGCUAACUCCGUGCCAGCAGCCGCGGUAAUACGGAGGAUCCGAGCGUUAUCCGGAUUUAUUGGGUUUAAAGGGAGCGUAGGCGGGUUGUUAAGUCAGUUGUGAAAGUUUGCGGCUCAACCGUAAAAUUGCAGUUGAUACUGGCAGCCUUGAGUACAGUAGAGGUAGGCGGAAUUCGUGGUGUAGCGGUGAAAUGCUUAGAUAUCACGAAGAACUCCGAUUGCGAAGGCAGCCUGCUGAACUGUAACUGACGCUGAUGCUCGAAAGUGUGGGUAUCAAACAGGAUUAGAUACCCGGGUAGUC
This 460-nucleotide ribosomal RNA is filed under the name uncultured bacterium. RNAcentral describes it as "partial 16S ribosomal RNA". It matches the Rfam family "Bacterial small subunit ribosomal RNA", at positions 338 to 795 of the family's 1533-position model. The record is from RNAcentral.